Molecule: ribosomal RNA, 1195 nt
Filed under: Gallaecimonas sp.
Lineage: Bacteria; Pseudomonadati; Pseudomonadota; Gammaproteobacteria; Enterobacterales; Gallaecimonadaceae
Description: bacterial SSU rRNA
Rfam family: Bacterial small subunit ribosomal RNA
Source: RNAcentral
GGGAGGAACGGCCCCCCAGGGGGGGUUCCUAGGGGGUUUGGAGGCAUUCUCCGCCACCCCGGGAUGGGACCCGUCCCGACUCCUUCGGAGGCAGCAUUGGGGAAAUUUGCCAAUGGUCCCAGCCUGAUCCAGCCAUGACGAGGGUUGAAGAAGGCCUUGGGUUGAAAGCACUUUCAGCGAGGAGGAAAGGUUGAUGCUUAAUACGUAUCAGCUGUGACGUUACUUGCAGAAGAAGCCCCGGUUAAUUCCGUGCCAGCAGCGCGGUAAUACGGAGGGUGCAAGCGUUAAUCGGAAUUACUGGGCGUAAAGCGCACGCAGGCGGCUUGUUAAGUUAGAUGUGAAAGCCCCGGGCUUAACCUGGGAAUUGCAUUUACGACUGGCAAGCUAGAGUCUUGGAGAGGGGGGUGGAAUUUCCGGUGUAGCGGUGAAAUGCGUAGAGAUCGGAAGGAACAUCAAUGGCGAAGGCAACCCCCUGGCCAAAGACUGACGCUCAGGUGCGAAAGCGUGGGGAGCAAACAGGAUUAGAUACCUUGGUAGUCCACGCCGUAAACGAUGUCAACUUGGAGUUCGUGUUCUUGAAACGUGGACUCCGGAGUUAACGCGUUAAGUUGACCGCUUGGGGAGUACGGCCGCAAGGUUAAAACUCAAAUGAAUUGACGGGGGCCCGCACAAGCGGUGGAGCAUGUGGUUUAAUUCGAUGCAACGCGAAGAACCUUACCUACUCUUGACAUCUAGCGAACUUGGUAGAGAUACCUUGGUGCCUUCGGGAACGCUAAGACAGGUGCUGCAUGGCUGUCGUCAGCUCGUGUUGUGAAAUGUUGGGUUAAGUCCCGCAACGAGCGCAACCCUUAUCCUUUGUCGCCAGCACAUAAUGGUGGGAACUCAAAGGAGACUGCCGGUGAUAAACCGGAGGAAGGUGGUGACGACGUCAAGUCAUCAUGGCCCUUACGAGUAGGGCUACACACGUGCUACAAUGGCGCGUACAGAGGGAAGCAAGCUAGCGAUAGUAAGCGGAUCCCAAAAAGCGCGUCGUAGUCCGGAUCGGAGUCUGCAACUCGACUCCGUGAAGUCGGAAUCGCUAGUAAUCGUGGAUCAGAAUGCCACGGUGAAUACGUUCCCGGGCCUUGUACACACCGCCCAGUUCACACCAUGGGAGUGGGCUGACACGCAGAACAGUAGUAUAGCUUAACCUUCG